ACUAGUUGUGGUUGGGUAUUAAACUGUAGCAUUUUUUUUUCUUUCAGUUAUUACUCCCUUUAAAAUUCUUCAAGUGAGACAAAGCAGGUCUCAUUCUUUUCUUCCAGUUUAAUUACAUCAGCUGUAAUGCUUUACUAAUACAUCUGUCUUAUUCAGACAGAACUGCAGGUGUCACUAAAAAUCGUGAAGACAAUUCCAUUCUCUGGAAGACAAGACACUAACAAAAUCUGGGGAAGUGGUGAAGAAGAAUCCUUCUCCAGUUGCUGAGUGUGAUGAACCAAUGUUUCAGUUUUCUCCAAUCAAACAACUCCAAGCAAAUGACUUCAAUUUUCUUCAAUCUUUUGUAUUGUUCCAAAGCAAUGAAGUGUUGUAAGCAUCUGUCUUUUCCUACCAGAAAAGGCUUUACCCAGAGCUUUCCAACUUUCAUUUUUCACUUCAUCUGUAUUGGCUGAAGCCCAAAUUAAACAAGGAGGAGUUUGGCACUAUGCUGAAGGUUUUGAACGGCACUCACCACCUUUUCUUCCAUUGCUACAUUUACAGUAGCGAUCAGAAACACAAGGCUUUCUUUGUGUUUCUUUGCUACGAAUUCCUAUCAAACAGUGUUGCAGACAAAAUCAUUCUUGGCACUUAACUGCCAACAUUUCAUUAGCUGAUGCCUGUCAUAUUAUCACAGACUCAUUUCAGUCUCUCUUGUAAUGUCAUAUUGUACCCUUAACUGUGGUUUUUAUUACCUGUCUUCGAUACUUUUGUCUCUCAGCCAAAUAUCUCUUGAAGAAUUGAACAUAGUAAUCAGUGAUUGACUGCAUCAUCAGUAAACUUUACAGUUUGUUCUUCACCUUUUUCCUCUGCUGUACUAGAUGUUCAGUUUGAUAACCUUCUGC
This 881-nucleotide long non-coding RNA is filed under the name Numida meleagris (helmeted guineafowl). Its description in RNAcentral is "lncRNA (ENSNMEG00000010895.1)". Lineage: Eukaryota; Metazoa; Chordata; Aves; Galliformes; Numididae. The record is from RNAcentral.